RNAcentral lists this RNase P RNA (380 nucleotides) under Muribaculaceae bacterium. RNAcentral describes it as "RNase P RNA component class A". It matches the Rfam family "Bacterial RNase P class A". From Rfam's summary of the family: Ribonuclease P (RNase P) is a ubiquitous endoribonuclease, found in archaea, bacteria and eukarya as well as chloroplasts and mitochondria. Its best characterised activity is the generation of mature 5'-ends of tRNAs by cleaving the 5'-leader elements of precursor-tRNAs. Cellular RNase Ps are ribonucleoproteins. The record is from RNAcentral. Lineage: Bacteria; Pseudomonadati; Bacteroidota; Bacteroidia; Bacteroidales; Muribaculaceae.
AUGGCCGGAGGGUCUGUCGCUCGUCGGCGAAUGAACGGCGAGAGGAAAGUCCGGGCAACACAGAGCACCAUAUUUUCUAACGGGAAGCUAUCGGUAACGGUAGAGUAAUGUGACAGAAAAUAACCGCCGGUGUCCGCAAGGACAACGGUAAGGGUGAAAAGGUGAGGUAAGAGCUCACCGGGUGAGAUGGCAACAUUUCACGCCGCACAUCUUAUGGGUUGCAAGGUCAAGUAUACCGGCAUUCAAGGGCUGCUCGUCCAUUGCCGGGGGGUAGACUGCUAACGGCUCGUAAUGAGCCAGAUAAAUGACAGACGGCCGGUUGAAACUCCUUAAGGGAAAGUUCACCGCCACAUAACCCGGCUUAUACUCUGGCCAUGCUU